UACAGAGGUCCCAAGCGUUGUUCGGAUUUACUGGGCGUAAAGGGUGCGUAGGCGGUCAAAAAAGUCUGAUGUGAAAUCUCGGAGCCUAACUCCGAAACUGCAUUGGAAACUGUUUGACUUGAGGAGUGGAGGGGAGACUGGAAUUCUCGGUGUAGCAGUGAAAUGCGUAGAUAUCGAGAGGAACACCAGUGGCGAAGGCGAGUCUCUAGACAUUUCCUGACGCUGAGGCACGAAAGCAAGGGGAGCAAACGGGAUUAGAUCCCCGGGUGGUCUUGGCUGUAACGGGUGCGAAUUGGUGGGGGGCGGAUCCGACCCCGCCAGUGGCGAAGCUAACGCGAUAAAUGCGCCGCCUGGGGAGUACGGUCGCAAGAUUA
RNAcentral lists this ribosomal RNA (374 nucleotides) under uncultured prokaryote. Its description in RNAcentral is "bacterial SSU rRNA". It matches the Rfam family "Bacterial small subunit ribosomal RNA", at positions 524 to 896 of the family's 1533-position model. The record is from RNAcentral.